CGCAGGGCGGAUGCCUUGGCACUAGGAGCCGAUGAAGGACGUGAUAAGCUGCGAUAAGCUUCGGGGAGUUGCACGUAAACUUUGAUCCGAAGAUUUCCGAAUGAGGAAACUCACUUAGAGUAAUGUCUAAGUAUCGUUAAGUGAAUACAUAGCUUAGCGAGGGGAACCCGGGGAACUGAAACAUCUAAGUACCCGGAGGAAGAGAAAGAAAUUCGAUUCCGUAAGUAGCGGCGAGCGAACGCGGAACAGGCCAAACCAAUGAAGUUUACUUCGUUGGGGUUGCGGACAUACAACAUGGAUGCAAUAUCGUAAAUGAAGAGAGUUGGAAAGCUCCGCCAUAGAAGGUAAUAGCCCUGUAGUUGAAACGAGAAAGCUACUAGUAUGAUCCAGAGUACCACGGGACACGUGAAACCCUGUGGGAAGCAGGAGGGACCAUCCUCCAAGCCUAAAUACUACCUAGUGACCGAUAGCGCAUAGUACCGUGAGGGAAAGGUGAAAAGAACCCCGGGAGGGGAGUGAAAUAGAACCUGAAACCCUGCACUUACAAGCUGUGGGAGCACAUUACUUGUGUGACCGCGUACUUUUUGUAGAACGGGCCAACGAGUUACGUUAAGUAGCAAGGUUAAGCACUUAAGGUGUGGAGCCGUAGCGAAAGCGAGUCUUAAAUGGGCGAUUAAGUUACUUGGCGUAGACCCGAAACCGGGCGACCUAUCCAUGAGCAGGUUGAAGCGAAAGUAAAAUUUCGUGGAGGACCGAACCCACGAGCGUUGAAAAGCUCGGGGAUGACUUGUGGAUAGCGGUGAAAUUCCAAUCGAGCCCGGAGAUAGCUGGUUCUCCCCGAAAUAGCUUUAGGGCUAGCCUCAAGCGUAGAGAAACGGAGGUAGAGCACUGAAUGUCCUAGGGGGUAUUGCACUUACCGAAGACUAUCAAACUCCGAAUGCCGUUUUCUUUUACUUGGGAGUCAGACUGUGGGUGAUAAGAUUCAUAGUCAAAAGGGCAACAGCCCAGAUCGUCAGCUAAGGUCCCUAAAUGUACGUUAAGUGGUAAAGGAUGUGGGAUUGCACAGACAACCAGGAUGUUGGCUUAGAAGCAGCCACUCAUUUAAAGAGUGCGUAAUAGCUCACUGGUCGAGUGAUCCUGCGCCGAAAAUUUCCGGGGCUAAAACGUACUACCGAAGCUACGGCAUCAUUUAUGAUGGGUAGGGGAGCUUCGUAUGCAGGCUGAAGCAUGACCGUAAGGACAUGUGGACAGUAUACGAGUGAGAAUGUUGGCAUGAGUAGCGAGACGUGGGUGAGAAUCCCACGGGCCGUAAACCCAAGGUUUCCAGGGGAAGGUUCGUCCGCCCUGGGUUAGUCGGGACCUAAGCCGAG
Molecule: ribosomal RNA, 1370 nt
Filed under: Streptococcus infantis
Lineage: Bacteria; Bacillati; Bacillota; Bacilli; Lactobacillales; Streptococcaceae
Description: partial 23S ribosomal RNA
Rfam family: Bacterial large subunit ribosomal RNA
Source: RNAcentral